Molecule: non-coding RNA, 206 nt
Filed under: Clostridium sp.
Lineage: Bacteria; Bacillati; Bacillota; Clostridia; Eubacteriales; Clostridiaceae
Description: T-box sequence
Rfam family: T-box leader
About the family: Uncharged tRNA acts as the effector for transcription antitermination of genes in the T-box leader family.
Source: RNAcentral
AAUUAAACUAUGAAGAGGAAUAGUAAAAAUAAAGGCUUUUACAGAGAGGAAGUUAUAUGGUGUGAGACUUCUAAAGCUAUAUUUUGAACCCGCCUUAGAGUUCUGCAAUAUAUAAAAAUUGCAGCGGAUUCUACCGUUAUAGAAUUUAAGUUGGAUGUUUUUACAUCAAUUAGGGUGGUACCGCCGAUACAGCCUCGGUCCCUUUU